This is a long non-coding RNA of Coturnix japonica (Japanese quail), 1879 nucleotides long. The record is from Ensembl. Lineage: Eukaryota; Metazoa; Chordata; Aves; Galliformes; Phasianidae.
AUCUAGUUCUUCUCAGUUCAUAAUGAUUGAUUUCAGGAUAAAAGCAACAUUCUUGUAGUUUAUUUAUCCUUAAGUAAUGGAUGGGUAAUUUCAACUAUAACAUGCUUCUAAUGAAACUUUUUGCAUGGAUUUUGCAGUGUUUUCUUCUGAGAUGAAGUGUUCUAGCACAAGUUUCAGACAAUAAGUAUUCAACGAUUAUGGUAAUACUGGAGAUAUUUUUAUAUUUAUGGUAGAUGCACUUUAGUAAGAAUUUUUCAAGGCUGAGCUAUGUGCAAUAGGACCUGCUAGAAAGAGCCAUUGAAAGCUGCCAAGAUGUUAAAGAAUAUACAUAGGCAAAGAAAACUGGCAUCCUGGAACUGUCCAUCAAGCAUUGGUGCUUUUCUGUCUUCAUCUGAAUCCUUCUGGAGAUUGUAAGGUAAAUCUGACAAGUUCAGAGUAUUUCUGUCUUCCUUGCAAGGUCAUCUCUCCAUUUAAAUCACUGUUUUUCUCCUGCUGUCCUCUUUGAAGGGCAGCAUUACAUGCCUACUAUUUGGAUCAUAGUCAUUCUGAAUACAGUAAUGUGUAAAAUACCACUCUCUUUGAACAAAAUGAAAUAAUCCUGUCCUUAAAUGUAUGGCCAGAUAUACAGCCUUAAUUAUUAAUUUUUAUUUUCUAACUUUUACAUAGCCAAUUGUCUUAACUCUUCUCAGUGACUCCUUCUCUAAUGCAAAUCUAAAUAUUUCUUGUCAGCUUUGCUAUUUCAUUUUCCAGCAUGCUGAUUAAUGGCAUUCCUUGGCUAAUGUCAUCACUUUUCUCUCAGGAUCAUCAGAUGACCUCAGGAUGUCACACCAAGAUGUUAUUAGUAUUCUCUCUGUCAGUACUGGGUACAGGGUAGCUGAAGUUUUCAGUUAGUGCUUGAGAGCUAUUGUACAACCAAAAGAGUGGGGUAAGGACAGCACUGCCACCUUUCCUGACAGAAACUCCUGUGUUACAAAGAGAGAAAAGAGGCAACUGAAGAGGGGCCAGACCUCUUUUCGACAUUUUCCUAUAGCCUUCUUAGGCGAUCCCCUGAACACAGUGCAAUUAUUGCUGUGGUCUAAAUCCCCAAGUUUCUGUAUCUCAAAGGGAGCCUUGUCAGCUACAUUGCCAUUGCUGGUAACAUGGCAACUAAAGCUGCAGGAAGUACUGGAUACUGACUAAACUUUGAAACAAAUUCACUGUGAAUAACCUUCCAAAUGUUCUAUAUACUAGCACAAUUAAAAAAUAUGUUAAUGCUUUUUCCCCUUAGUAAUUUUAGAGUUUUCCACCCAAUUUUCAACUUAUUUUGUGUAGAAGUGGUGUGGUAAGACAGAUUUUUAAAAGUACAAACAAAUCUACUGCUUAUAUAUUAAUCACAGCUUUUUUAAAAUCCUGUGUGUGAUUUUACUGUAACAAAAACAUCUCUGUGUUAUCGUGACUAUUUUUGGUAACAAAUCCCAAACACAGCAUCAUCCAAGCUUCCACAAAGAAAAUGAACCCUAUGCUAGCCAAAACCAGGACUUAGUUGCUGAGGAGCAGUGCUUGCACAGAGACAAUGACUUCUCUGCUCCUUGUGCUGUCCUGUCAGUGAGGAACUACGGUGCACAAGGAGCUGGGAGAGGACACAUCCAGGGAAGCUGACCCAGACUGGACAAAGAAUAUCCUGUAUCACACAGCAUCAUGCUCAGGAAAAAAGGACUGGAGUAAGGAAAGAGGCCUUGGAGGGGGUGUUUGGAGUGCUGACAUUUGUCUUCCUGAGUCUGAAUGAAUUUAUCCCUCUACCUUACUCAGAUUCAAUGGCGUUAGUCCAGAAGAGAAGUUUAUGAAGCAAUUAAAAUUUGAAACAAAUAAAAAACGCUUAUUACAUAUCCUAUUUAUUCCC